AUAAGUCAGAGAAAACUAAUUAUUUUAACUAAAUGUCGGUGGUAGAUUAAUUUUGUAUGGUAAAAAUUUCUGACAAUUUCCCUUCAUCAUCUCAACCUCCGUCUGGUCUGAAAAUCUCCGGAGGUUUCAAUAAUGGGCGACACCGGAGAUAUCGACGGCAUUGAAGAAGGCCCAUGCGGAUGUACACUGCGAUGCGGCAAAAGAAUCAGCGGCGUAGAUAAUGGUUUCGAAGAUGAGAGGUAUUCGGUUUCGAUAGGAUACUUUUUACGAAUAAGGAUGAAGCACUUCGGAUGCUUGUUAGACGCCUAAAGAGGACUGGAUCGUAAGGAUGGAGAAAGCGAGAUGGUAUAACUUUGGGAUCAGAUUCGAAGCAUAAGUUGUAGUGCAGGUCAAAGAUAUAGGGUAAGAGUUGGGAGAAGUUCAGGAUAAAUUGGAUAAAGUAAUGAACAGGAACUACAUGAGAAAAUUUAGCAGGAAAUAUUGCUACUAACAUAUAUAUGUCAUUACGGCUUCAGAACUCUCUUGGUCAUGGUGAAUCCACGGUUGUCGGUUAUGGCUCUCAUCUGGAAGAACAGCUCAUGACUCGGGAAAUGGACAUGUCAGGCAAGUGUAAGCCUAAAGGUACCAGUGAAUACUGACUUUGCCUUCAUUAAAAGAAGCUAAGAAUCAGAACCUUUUAAAAAUGGCCAUAGAAUCUGUCUAGUGGAAAAAUCUGUUUUCUUGGAUAUGUAACUGGUUCCUCCCGCGAAGACUUAAGCAACAUGUGCAAACGUGUGUGUUGAUAUUUUAUGAAACUUGACAGUAAUGCGGAAAGAUAAUAGUGGGGUAUCAGAGUGACGCUUUUCAGAAAAAGAAAAAGAAGAGUACUGAAACGUGGGAUAAUAUUAUCUUCUAAACAGGUUCUUUAUUAUGUGGCAUCAGAACGUACGAAUUAUCAAUCUUUAUUUCCCCCAACAUUCCAUAUUUAAGUAACAGUGGAAAGCCAGCAGAUGAUUCUUUCUUGAUGAUGAUCACGAUACUGAACACAGAAGUAUGAAACUAGAGAAGAUUAAAAAAAAAAAAAAAAAAAUAGAGAGGAUUUGCACAAUACCUUCAAAUGAUAGAAAGUAGCAUUUGCCAUGGGAGAUGAAAAGACUGAAGCAAUUCAUAUACCAGCUGCUAAGAAGAAUUCUGACAUAUUGAAAAGAUGCAGUCUAAGGUAGCAAUAAAUGCCGGUUUCCGGAAAAUGGAAAAAGUUACAAGGAAAAAAGAAGCUCUCCAAACUCCAAAGCAGGCUCUUUACUUACUGGUGAGGCCAUGGAAAUAUAUCAUGCACCUGUUCUUUGGAAUUCCAUUUGUGGAUAACUCUAAUCAAUCCGGGGAUAAUUUAUCAAUCACAAAUGAAAUUGAUACUCAGAAACAUUGGUUAUUUCCGCUAAUCUUGAAAGUUCUAUUAAAGAAGGUUGAAGUAUUUACAGCACAUGAAGAUGCUGAAAGUGAUAUAGGAGUCAGUGAAACCUUUUGGAAUGUAUGCAUCUGACCAUCUUAACCAACAAUGAUGUUGAAACCGUUAAAGGCUUGUUAACUAAGUUUGAAAAGACUGCUUCUGAUUUGAAUGAUGACUCCCACAUGCAACUUAUAAAUAUUUACGUUCUUAAGCCACAGAUUGUUGAAAGCACGAGGGUUUGCCAAAUAAUUCAGACUGUAAUUCAUCUUCUAAUGAGAGCAUUUAAAGAGGAAGGUGGGGAACAUAGGAAUGGUCUUGUAGAGACUUAGAAUUGAAGUUUCUUGGUUGAAUUCUCAAGAUAGUUGGCAACCAGCACAUUUGCACUUGAGAUUAUUAUGAUCCGUUAUCAUAUUGAGCAAUCAAUUAGCUGGAUAAAGUCAGCAUUCAGGUGAACACACUCCAAAGUUGGAUUUUGCUGAAUUAGAAAUACGCAAAAUUUGGGAAUCACGAAACAUAUUUGACACCUUUAUGCAAGGAGGAAGAUAAGAGUGCAAGAUUAACAGGCUAAAGUAAGCAUCUUUUCCCCGUUUGGCGGCAAAGUUAGUGGCAGACCACAAGGCCUUCAAAAUAUUGUCCGUAUAGCAUGCCUCUGCAUUGCCUUGUGCUGUGCUCUUUUAUUUCAUGGAUCAUUACUGCUCUGUUAUUACAGAAAUGGUAGUAAGUAGAUUUUACCUUUAAUCAUGCGUUAUGGAAACUAUACUUUUUUUUGCUUUCUGACAUUUCAUUUUUAACCUUGACUUUCUCGGAGUUUAGGAAAGGUUAAAUUGUAAAUUUGAUCUCUAUUGUGGACUAUUUAUGAGGAUUUUAUCAAACUAUAGAGACUAUUUAUGAGGUUUUAUCAAACCAUAGAGACUAAAAUUCUAACUUUUAAACCAAUAGAAACUAAAUUCUAAUUUUCUCCAAACCAUAGGGACCAAAUUUGUAAUUUAACUUUAGAGAAAUGUCUUUAUAUCGACGGUGACCUUAUUAAUUUAUACAUAACAAAUACAUUAAAUAAGUUGGGAAUAAUAUAUAGGUUUUGUUUUUGUUCAACAACAUAUGUAUGGUAGGGGGCCAAAAUUAGUCUAGCUCAAUUGGCUUAAAGCUUGUGUUACCAACUUCGAAUUCAGAGAUUCAAUUUUUCCCACCCACAGUAAAAAAUUAAAAAAAAAAAAAAAAGCAAAAACAAACAUAUGGUAGGGGAUUGACUAAUUAAACUAUGUUCACAUUGACAGCUUACCUCUAGUUUGUUACACCUAAUUUGUUUUUAUUUUGUUUGUUUCUUUGUUGUUUGUUUGAUUUUGUUUUGUUUAGAAACUAGAAAUGGUUAAGAUAUUACCUUAGUGUAUUGUGAAAUUUUGAUUGAUAAGUAGAUACUUCCGUAAAUUGAAUAAUUCAACUUGAACUUGAAGAAACAAUAUAAUUUUCCUGAAAUAUUGUGGAUCUAAAAAUGCUUAUCAUGUGGCUGAGCUGUAGGAUCUGAAUUUGAGUGUUUAUAUAUAUAUAUAUAUAUAUAUAUAUAUAUAAAAACUGGAAUUUGAAGCAUUAGUUUCUUGUUUUCGGCAGUAGGUUUCUUGAAGAAAAAUAAGCAGUACAGCAUAUGUUAGUCAAUAACAUACGUAUAAACCAGAGGGGUGGGGCCUUAUCCCCAUGCAACUGUCUUCCUUUUGUUUAGUCCUUUUUCUUUAAGAAAUACAUUACAUUGCUGAUUAUUAUUAUCAUUAAUUUGGUUUUCUUGUUUUUCAUAAACUGGGAGCAUUGCGUAUCAUGAUGAACAGCAUUGUGUCGAUAUCGAUAAGACGUUGCUGUAUACGAGAAUAGGGAAGAAAUGAUUAGAGCUAAAGAGAAAUGCCAAUGGAUUCACCAUAAAGCCACCCCGUCGCUGGACGUGAAACCUAUGAUUCUCGACAUUCAUAGAUCCAGCAUCUACAUUAGCUCCAUGGCGAUCGCCUGAUCUACUGCGCAUUAGAGCCAAUGGAGUUGCACGAA
Molecule: non-coding RNA, 3454 nt
Organism: Benincasa hispida (wax gourd)
Lineage: Eukaryota; Viridiplantae; Streptophyta; Magnoliopsida; Cucurbitales; Cucurbitaceae
Source: RefSeq, a predicted model, not a curated record